This is a long non-coding RNA of Leptinotarsa decemlineata (Colorado potato beetle), 507 nucleotides long. The record is from RefSeq and is a predicted model, not a curated record. NCBI's taxonomy places the organism in Eukaryota, Metazoa, Arthropoda, Insecta, Coleoptera, Chrysomelidae.
UCCUCCUCAGGAAGUGAUACUCCCGAAGGAAGUGAUGAUAUCUCGAUUGGAGGAGAUUCAAACGAUGGAGAAAAUUCAGAAAUCGGACAUUCAGACGACGGAGAAAAUUCAGAUGUCGGAUUUUCAUCUCCUGGUGCUGGUAGUUCAGGAAGUAUUCAAUUGGGAAGUGACGAUGGAAUCUCCUUUGGAGGAGGUUUUAAUGGUGGAAUAAACUUAGGUGGAAGUUCAUCUUCGGACAGUGGAAGUAGCUCGACAGGAGAAAUAAACUCAGAUGGUGGAUCCUCAUAUUCGGGAGGCAGUGGUCUAGAAAGUCAAGGGUCCUCCGGAGGAAGCAGUGACGACACCAUUCCAAAGGGAAAUGGAGGUUUUUCACUAAACGAUUUACUGAGUGGAGGAAGCUUGUUAGAUUCUUCGUCAAAUUCAGGUCCAGUUAUAUUUGAAAAUACCACCCCCGAUAAAAAGAGUACUGAGUAAUAUUAUACAAAUAUUAAAGAAAUCCUCAGAGUA